GAUGAACGCUGGCGGCGUGCCUAAUACAUGCAAGUCGAGCGAACAGACGAGGAGCUUUCUCCUCUGACGUUAGCGGCGGACGGGUGAGUAACACGUGGAUAACCUACCUAUAAGACUGGGAUAACUUCGGGAAACCGGAGCUAAUACCGGAUAAUAUAUUGAACCGCAUGGUUCAAUAGUGAAAGACGGUUUUGCUGUCACUUAUAGAUGGAUCCGCGCCGCAUGAGCUAGUUGGUAAGGUAACGGCUCACCAAGGCGACGAUGCGUAGCCGGCCUGAGAGGAUGACCGGCAACACUGGGACGGAGACACGGCCCAGACUCCUACGGGAGGCAGCAGGGGGGAAUUUUGGACAAGGGGCGCAAGCCGGAGGGAGCAAUGCCGGGUGAAGGAAGAAGGCCUUCGGGUUGUAAACUGCUUUUGUAAGGAACGAAAAGGUUGUAGAUAAUAUCCGGGGCUCAUGACGGUACCUAAAGAAAAAGCAACGGCUAACUACGUG
Molecule: ribosomal RNA, 497 nt
Filed under: uncultured bacterium
Lineage: Bacteria
Description: partial 16S ribosomal RNA
Rfam family: Bacterial small subunit ribosomal RNA
Source: RNAcentral